RNAcentral lists this ribosomal RNA (517 nucleotides) under fungal sp. Its description in RNAcentral is "eukaryotic LSU rRNA". The stretch from base 177 to 330 matches the Rfam family "5.8S ribosomal RNA". The record is from RNAcentral. Lineage: Eukaryota; Fungi.
GUACCUGCGGAGGGAUCAUUACAGAGUUAUCCAACUCCCAAACCCAUGUGAACUUAUCUCUUUGUUGCCUCGGCGCAAGCUACCCGGGACCUCGCGCCCCGGGCGGCCCGCCGGCGGACAAACCAAAACUCUUGUUAUCUUAGUUGAUUAUCUGAGUGUCUUAUUUAAUAAGUCAAAACUUUCAACAACGGAUCUCUUGGUUCUGGCAUCGAUGAAGAACGCAGCGAAAUGCGAUAAGUAAUGUGAAUUGCAGAAUUCAGUGAAUCAUCGAAUCUUUGAACGCACAUUGCGCCCAUUAGUAUUCUAGUGGGCAUGCCUGUUCGAGCGUCAUUUCAACCCCUAAGCACAGCUUAUUGUUGGGAACCUACGGCUUCGUAGUUCCUCAAAGACAUUGGCGGAGUGGCAGUGGUCCUCUGAGCGUAGUAAUCUUUUAUCUCGCUUCUGUUAGGUGCUGCCCCCCCGGCCGUAAAACCCCCAAUUUUUCUGGUGACCUCGGAUCCAGGAGAACCUGUCCCCA